AUUCUUAUCUAAGUUUGACACCUAUGUCAAGGAGAAUCUGAUUUAAAGCUUCCGAGGUAUUGUGAGGUAUCGCAGGGAACUCAAUGGAGAUCAGAGAUCCACCAAAUCCAGGGACAAGAGCAGGGGCAGCUAUUCUCUGUCUGGGUCCUGCUCUCUUACAGUCAUUCUUGCUGUGUCUUACUUUCUCUGGUAAAAUUUGGAUAAUUGACAGGGUAAUUGUCCUAAAGAACAGAGAUGAAAGGUUAAGAAUAAUUCCUAAGUCAUCCUGGCAACGACAGUCAAGUAGAUCAAGGCUUCACACUGUCCAUUAACCUAUGAAGGAUUCUGAGAAAUCCUACAGUAAAAACAACAACAACAACAAAACUCUCGUUUUCCAAAUGAGCUUCAUCAUGGUGCUCUUUCUCGUAACGUCUUGAAAAUAGUCUAUUAUUUGGAAAAUACUUGGUAGAAAUACUGCAAUAAAAACACAGAUUUUAUUUCCCCUUAUGUGUUC
Molecule: long non-coding RNA, 493 nt
Filed under: Vulpes vulpes (red fox)
Lineage: Eukaryota; Metazoa; Chordata; Mammalia; Carnivora; Canidae
Description: lncRNA (ENSVVUG00000010688.1)
Source: RNAcentral